GGACUUCCGGCGUCCUGGGGGCGUUAGUUCUUUUGAAACGUGUUUCUUUUCUGUUCACAGGCUUCCCUUGCCCGCGACCUUUCAGAACUUCCGAGAGAAUCACCAUAAAGAGGCAUCCGUGACCUUCAAGGACGUGGCAGUGACCUUUACCUAGGACGAGUGGGGGCAGCUGGAUGCUGCCCAGAGGAGCCUGUACUGGGAGGUGAUGCUGGAGACCUGUGGGAUAUCCGGUUCCCAAACCAGAUCUAAUCCACCCACUGAAGCACAGGCAGGAGCUGUGGGUGGUGAAGAGAAGCCUCUCCCAAAGUGCCUGUCCAGGAGGAAGCAUGAGAAGCCUCCGAAGUUGCAGGAGAAGAUGUGAUUUAGUCUCUGGUGCAGGAAGUAGCUACGGCAGGGGGCGAGACCUCUUCCAAAGUUGGGAAGUGAAGCUACAGGUAUGAGACAGAUAACAGAUGCUCUGUAAGGUUGAGCAGCAAGAAAGAAGGCCAUGAAGUAGGUUGUAUGCUGAGACAUCAGUGGCUCAGGGAGUGAGUGGUGAAUGGAUGGAUCAAUGCUUGCAUGGGUGGCAGAGCUGGUGCAGGAGAGAGAGCUGAUCAGAAGAAACACAGAGCAGAUGUGAGCCAACCAGUUAGAAGUGUUUUGGCGGCAUCUUGGCAAAAGAUGAUGAGAGCUUAGAGCAGGAUGUUCGUGGUGGAACCCAUGGAGGUGGUAAAGAUGAUGGAUUCAUGCAAUAUGGAAAACAAAAUAAGCAUGAUGAUGGUGGCUGAAUGUUGGGUUAGAGGAGGCACAGUGUUACGAGUUUGCACAAGGUCCCACCUUCUCAACUCUCUGAAAAACAGGGCCAUCUACUGAAACUGUGGAGGAUGGAGGAGUGGGCAAGAUCAUUAUUUCCUUCUUAUGCAUGAAGAAUUCGAUGGAACAUGUGGGAUAUAAUGCAAAAGUAAGUAGUUGGAAGAGGCUGUCGGGCUGAGGAGGGGGUUAGAGACACAUCAACUGACUGAGCUGUGCAAGGAAGCAGAAGAGGGGCAAGAACAUUACUCUGCAGUAGUGCCAAUCUAGACACUUGAUGACUCCAACUAUUCUCAGCAGCCCAGAUGUGGGCCAGACAAAGCCAAGUGUCAUCUUGAGGUUUUACAGUAGAGAGCCAGGAAGAUAAUGCAGCUAGGGAUUGCUUCUAUCUGACAAAUGUGAAGAUAGAUGAAUGAAUGGCUGGAAAAGGGUGGGAUGCAGAGCAUAGGCAGAGAUAGUAAAAUAGGAAAAUGAUACCCCAAAGGAAGACAAUAAUUUGCCAGUUACCAGUCGAAAAGAAAUUGAGAUCUAUGAAUAGAUGCACAAAGAAUUGAAAAAUAAUCAUCUCAAAAAAACUAUGAGCUAAAACAGACAACAAAAUCAGAAAAACAAUACGUGAUCAAAAUAAGUUAAAUGAACAGACAGAAACUUUAACAUACAACCAAACAUAUAUUCUGGAGCUGAGAAUAUAAUGAUGAAUCAAAAAUUCCAUAGAAAGCUUUAACAGAAGAUUUGAUCAUGCAGGAGAACCAAUGAAUUCAAAGACAGAUCAUUUGAAAUUAUACAGUUGGGGGAGGGGAAGAAAGAAUGAUAAAGAGUGAAGAAAGCCUAUGAGACUUUUAAGAACCAAUAUAUGCAUUGCGGCAGGGAGGGUGGGGUGGGGUGUAAGACCCCUCAUGAUGGAAUUAGUGUCCUUAUAAGAAGAGCUCUCUCUCUCCUCCAUGUGAAAUGUGAAGACACAGCAAGAAGGUAGCCAGCUGCAAUCCAAAGACAGAGUUCUCACCAGACACCCACCCUCCUAGCACCCUAACCUCAGACUUCCAGUUCCAGAACUGUGAGAAAUAAAUUCUUGUUUAAUCCAAAAAAAAAAAAGAACCAAUAUAUGCAUUAUGGGAGUCCUUGUAGAAGGAGAAGAGAAGUGGCAAUAAACUUACUUAAAGAAAUAAUGGGUGAAAACAUCCCAAAUAUGUAGAGAGAUAUGGACCAUCCAGAUAAAUGAAUCUCAGAGUUCCCCAGUCAGUUUCAACAGAGAGAAAACUUCAACAGGACACUUUAUAAUCAAACUGUCAAAAUCGAAGACAGAGAUUUUUGAAAGCAGCAAAGAAAAAGCAGUUUGUUAUACACAAGAGAUUCUGGAGGAAUGUCGUGGGUUUCUUCUCAGAAACGUUUGUACCCUUUCCAUUAUAAACUCUGAGGAUCUAAUGUACAGAACAGUGACUAUAGUUAAUAGUAUUGUAUCACAUACAUGAAAUUUGCUAGGAGAGAUUUUAAGCAUUCUUACCAAAAAAAGUGAUGGAUGUGUUAAUUAACUUGAUUGUAGUUAUAUUUUCACAGUGUGUACUUAUAUCAAAUAAUCAAUUUGUAUAUUUUAAAUAUAUUUAUAUUUAAAGUACAUAAUAUAUAUAAAUUUAUUUUUUGUCAGUUGUAUGUCAGAAAAUUUUUAAUGAAGGCAAGAUCAGAUUUUUUCCAGGAGGAAAAAACAAAACAAAACAAAAAACCCUGAGUAGUUUAUCACCUCUAGAACUGCUUCACAGGAAGUCCUAAUGGAAUUCUUCAAUAAAAAUUUUAGGGAUUUCCCUCGUGGUCCAGUGGUAAAGAAUCCACCUUCCAAUGCAGGGGACGCGGGUUCGAUCCCUGGUCAGGGAACUAACAUCCCACAUGCAACUAAGCCUGCACGCCACAACUACUGAGCUCGUGCACCUCAACUACAGAGACGCCUGCACGCCACAAUGAAAGAUCCCACGUGCCACGAUGAAUAUCCCACGUGUUGCAACUAAGACUCGACACAGCCAAAAAUAAAUGUUAAAUUUCUAAAAAAUAAUAUUAAAAUGUGGGAGUAUAAUUCGUACUGUAAAGGCACAUAUAUAGUCAAACUCAGAAUACUCUAAUAUAGAAAGCUACAAAUUUCCAGUUAUGAGAUAAGUGCUGGAAAUGUAAUGUACAACAUGAUGACUGUAGUUAACACUGCUGUAUGGUAUAUUUGAAAGUUAGAGUAAAUCCUGAGAGUCCUCAUCACAAGGGAAAAAACUUUUUUGUUUCUGUGUAAGAUGAUGGGUAUUAACUAAGCUUAUGUGGUAAUCAUUUCACAAUAUAUGAAAGCCAAGUUAUUAUGCUGUACACCUUAAACUCAUACAGUGCUGUAUGUCGAUUAUAUCUCAAUAAAACUGGAAAAAAGAAUAUGCCAAUAUAGUAGUGGUAUGCAUAAAUCACUUUUAAGUCUAGUAUAAAAGGUAAAAGACAAAACUGUUAAAAUAACUGUGACUAAAUUGUGACAUCAAUAACAUAAUAUGUGGGUUGGAGAAGUGAAAUGUUACAAAUUUUUGCAUGCAACUGAAGUUGUCAUCAUUAGCUUAAAACAGAUGUUAUAUCUAUGUUUUAUGUAUGCCUCAUAGUAACCACAAAGAAAAAACCUCUAGUCAAUUCAAAACAUAAAGGGAAAGGAAUCACAGCAUACCACAAUCAAGAAAAAAAAAAGCCACAAAGGAACACAGGAAGAGAGGAAGUAAAAAAGGACUUUUAAAAAGUCAGAAAACAACAAAAUCACAAUGGUAACUCCUUACUAUCAAUAAUUACUCUCAGACAUAGGCUGAAAAUGAAUGACUGGAAAAAGAUAUUCCAUGCAAAUGGUAACCAAAAAUGGUAAGAAGGUAGCUACACUUAUAUAAGACAAAAUAGGCUUUAAGUCAGAAACUGUCAGAGAGACAAAGAUUGUCACUGCAUAAUGAUGAAGGGGUCAGUCUAUCAAGAAAAAUAUAAAAAUUUAAAAUUUAUAUAUAGCCAACAUCAGAGUUCCUAAAAAUAUAUGCAGUCUUUCACAGGUCUGAAGGGAGAAAUAGACAGCCAUACAAUAAUAGUUGGGGGACUUCAAUACCUCACAAUUAUGGACAGAUCAUUCAGAGAGAAAAUCAAUUAGGAAACAGCAGAUUUGAACUAUCAGUCCAGCUGAACCUAAGAGACAUAUACAGAACAUUCCAUCCAACCAGUAGAAUACACAGUCUUCUUAAAUACAUACAGAACAUUCUCCAGGACAGAUCAUAUGUUAGGCCAAAAUACAAGUCUUAAGAAAUUUAAUAAGAUUAAAAUCAUAUCAAGUAUCUUUUCUGACCACAAUUGUAUGAAACUAGAAAUUAGUAACAGAAAGAAAAUGAAAAAUGGAGAAUUUAAACAAUAUACUCUUGAGAAAAAUCACUCAAGUCAAAGAAGAAAUCAAAAAGGCAAAUUUAAAAUACCUUGAAACAAAUGAAAAUGGAAAUGUAACAUACCAAGUCUUAUGAGAUGCAGCAAAAGCAGUUCUAAGAGGGAUGUUUAUACCAAUAAAUGCCUGCAUUAAGAAAAAAGAUCUCAAAAGUCUAACUUCAUACCUCAAGGAACUAAAAAAAAAAAAACGAACACAGGCCAAAGUUAGCAGAAGGAAGGAAAUAAUUAUUAGAGAAGAAAUAUAUUAAAUAGAAACUAGAAAAACAAAACAUCAACAAAACUAAGAGUUGACUUUUUGAAAGGAUAAACAAAAUUGACAAAUCUUAAGCUAGACUAACCAUGAACAUAGGAGAGAAGACUCAAGGAAAGAAAAUUGUACAUAAAAGAGGAGACGUUACAACUGAUGCCAACGAAAUGAAAAGGAUCAAAGGAGACUACUAUGAACAACUGUAUGCCAACUAUUAUGGAUAAGCUACAAGAAAUGGACAAAUUUCGGGAAACAUACAGUGUACCAUGACUAAAUCAUGGAGACACAGUAAAUCUCAACAGACCAAUGAGUAAGGAGAUUGAAUCAGUAAUCAAAAUCCCAGGACCAGAUGGCUUCACUAGUGAAUUCUACCAAACAUUUAAAGAAUUAAUGCCAAUCCUUCUCAACCUCUCCCAAAAAAUUAAAAGAGGAGAAACACUUCCAAAUGCAUUGUAUGAGGCCAGUGUUUUAAACUGAUACCAAAGCCAAACAAGGCUACUACAAGAAAACUACAGGAUUUCCCUGGCAGUCUCUAGGAUGCAAUGAUGUUCAACCUAUGCAAAUUAAUAAAUGUGAUAUACCACAUUAAAAUGAGUGAUAAAAAGCAUAUGAUCUGAAUAGAUGCAGAAAAAGCAUUUGAUGAAAUUUAACAUUCUUUCGUGAUAAAGAUUAAACAAAUUAGGUAUAGAAGGAACUUACUUCAACAUAGUAAAGGCCCUAUAUGACAAAUCCACCAUUAACAACAUAGUUAGAAAAGCUGAAAGUUUUUCCUCUAAGAUUAGGAACAAGACAAGGGUGCUCACUAUCACCACUUCUAGUCAACUAUCACCACUUCUAGUCAACAAAGUAGUGGAAGUCCUUGCCAGAGCAAUUAGGCAAUGAAAAGAAAUAAAAGGCAUUCAAAUUGGAAAAGAAGAAAAACUGUCUCUGCAGUUGACAUGAUAUAUAGAAAUCCUAAAGACUCCACCAAAAAACUGUUAGAACUAAUAAACAAAUUCAGUAAAGUUGCAGGAUACAAAAUUAAUAUACAAAAAUUAGUUCAAUUUCUGUACACCAAUGAACAUUCUGAAAAAGAAAAUCCUAUUUACAAUAGCAUCAAAACCAAAAAAUACCUAGAAUAAAUUUAACCAAGGAGGUGAAAGAUCUGUGCACUGAAAACUAUAGAGUGAAAGUAAAAACUAAGUGAAAGAUUGAAGACACAAACAAAUGGAAAUUUAUCCUGUGUUCAUGGAUUGGAAGAAUUAAUAUUAUUAAAAUGCCUAGAUUUAAUGCAAUCCCUAUCAAAAUUCCAAUAGCAUUUUUUAUAGAAAUAGAAGAAACAAUUUUAAAAUUAAUAUAGAAUCAUAAAGACCCUGAAUAGCCAAAACAAUCUUGUACAAGAACAAAGCUGAUGGCAUCAUACUUCUUGAUUUCAAAAUACACUACAAAGCUAUACUAAUAAAAACAGUAUAGGGCUUCCCUGGUGGCGCAAUGGUUGAAAGUCUGUCUGCCGAUGCAGGGGACACGGGUUCAUGCCCUGGUCCGGGAAGAUCCCACAUGCCGCGGAGCAGCUGGGCCCGUGAGCCAGAGCCUGUGCUCCGCAACGGGAGAGGCCACAACAGUGAGAGGCCCGUGUACCGCAAAAAACAAACAAAAAAAAAAAAACA
Globicephala melas (long-finned pilot whale) is the source of this 6099-nucleotide long non-coding RNA. RefSeq lists it as uncharacterized. Lineage: Eukaryota; Metazoa; Chordata; Mammalia; Artiodactyla; Delphinidae. The record is from RefSeq and is a predicted model, not a curated record.